RNAcentral lists this ribosomal RNA (810 nucleotides) under uncultured Bacteroidota bacterium. Its description in RNAcentral is "bacterial SSU rRNA". It matches the Rfam family "Bacterial small subunit ribosomal RNA", at positions 65 to 867 of the family's 1533-position model. The record is from RNAcentral. Lineage: Bacteria; Pseudomonadati; Bacteroidota.
AGGGGCAGCGGGAUUGAAGCUUGCUUCAAUUGCCGGCGACCGGCGCACGGGUGAGUAACGCGUAUCCAACCUUCCGUACACUCAGGGAUAGCCUUUCGAAAGAAAGAUUAAUACCUGAUGGUAUGAUGAGAUUGCAUGAUAGCAUCAUUAAAGAUUUAUCGGUGUACGAUGGGGAUGCGUUCCAUUAGGUAGUAGGCGGGGUAACGGCCCACCUAGCCAACGAUGGAUAGGGGUUCUGAGAGGAAGGUCCCCCACAUUGGAACUGAGACACGGUCCAAACUCCUACGGGAGGCAGCAGUGAGGAAUAUUGGUCAAUGGACGAGAGUCUGAACCAGCCAAGUAGCGUGAAGGAUGAAGGUCCUACGGAUUGUAAACUUCUUUUAUAAGGGAAUAAACCCUCCCACGUGUGGGAGCUUGCAUGUACCUUAUGAAUAAGCAUCGGCUAACUCCGUGCCAGCAGCCGCGGUAAUACGGAGGAUGCGAGCGUUAUCCGGAUUUAUUGGGUUUAAAGGGAGCGCAGACGGGUCGUUAAGUCAGCUGUGAAAGUUUGGGGCUCAACCUUAAAAUUGCAGUUGAUACUGGCGUCCUUGAGUGCGGUUGAGGUGUGCGGAAUUCGUGGUGUAGCGGUGAAAUGCUUAGAUAUCACGAAGAACUCCGAUUGCGAAGGCAGCACACUAAUCCGUAACUGACGUUCAUGCUCGAAAGUGUGGGUAUCAAACAGGAUUAGAUACCCUGGUAGUCCACACGGUAAACGAUGGAUACUCGCUGCUGGCGAUAUACUGUCAGCGGCUUAGCGAAAGCGUUAAGUAU